AUGUAUGCUGGUUCCAAGCCCACCUCGGAGAUGAGGAACUCAGACCUGCGCUGCAGCCGACCAUCUGAACGUGCUCUUCAAGUAUUCAACUUUGGCUGCGAUCUUCUCCUCGCUGAGGAAUGCAACAGCAUGCAGCGCGUGCCUGAACAUGACAGAGCCACGGGGCACACCUAUGUCUUCGGCGCAUGUCACCAUCGCCUGGACAAGCUCCGGGUUGGCGGUGAUCAUCCUCGGCCUUGAGAUGCACAGCUUGGCAAUAUCGCAAUCACCUAA
This 273-nucleotide ribosomal RNA is filed under the name Triticum aestivum (bread wheat). Its description in RNAcentral is "partial small subunit ribosomal RNA". Lineage: Eukaryota; Viridiplantae; Streptophyta; Magnoliopsida; Poales; Poaceae. The record is from RNAcentral.